RNAcentral lists this long non-coding RNA (1188 nucleotides) under Ornithorhynchus anatinus (platypus). Its description in RNAcentral is "lncRNA (ENSOANG00000037073.1)". The record is from RNAcentral. Lineage: Eukaryota; Metazoa; Chordata; Mammalia; Monotremata; Ornithorhynchidae.
AUGGAGUUGAUGGAGGGGGGGGGGGGGACCCGCCCCGCCGGAGGGAGGGGGUCCGCACCCCCGGGGGAAUCCCGGCCGCGCCCUGGGAGUUUGGCCGGCUCACGGGCGAGGGACCGGGAGAUCCCUCGGGGAGAGUCGGGGGUGCCGGCCGGGCCCCGGCUGGCUCCCCGGGGAGAGUCAGAGACAGUAAUCAUCCUCACCGUGAUAGGUGUUGCGCGCUUACUAUGUGCCGGGCACCGCACCGAGCCCCGGGAUGGAUACGGGCAACCCCAUCCCGGACGGUCCACGCUGGGUCACUGGGGAGAGCCGGGGAUGGAGAGGGGCGAGGCAGAGGGGUCGGGUGGUCCCAUGCCGGCUCACUGGAGGAGUCAGGGGUGGACAGGGGAGAGGCAGAGGGGUUGGAGGGUCCGUGCCGGGUCACUGGUGGUGGGGGGAGUCAGGGGAUGGAGAGAGGAGAACCAGGGGUGUCCUUGCUGGGUCCACCGGGGGAGAGUCAGGAGGCCUCGGUGUCGGACGGGGGGGAAUCGGGGGUGUUGGGUGGUCCGUGGUGGGGCACUGGGGGCAGACAGAGGUGUUGGGUGGUCCGUACUGGGGCGCCGGGGGAGAGUCCGAGGUGUUGGAGGGUCCGUGCCGGGGCCCUGGGGGUCAGUCGGGGGCUGGAGAGGGGAGAACCGGGGCGUUGGAUGUUCCGCGCCGGCUCCCUGGGGGACAGACGGGGGUGUUGGUCCCCGCUGGCUCACUGGGGGACGGUCGGGGGGUGUUGGCUGGUUCGUGCCGGGUCGCCGGGGGGGGGGGGGGGGACAGUCGGGGGAUGGAGAGGGAAGAGACGGGGUGGUCCGCGCUGAGGCCCCGGGGGAGAGACAGAGGUGUUGGACGGCUCGGCCCUUUCCUCCUGGGGAGUGUUGGGGUGCGGGAGGGGGAGGCGCCCCCGAUCCCUCCCCGAGCAAGUCCGGGGGGCGACCCGGGAGGGGGUCCGGAGCUCGCCCCCGGCCCUCUUGGUCGGGCGGGGCGGCGUCCGGGGCCGCUGUGAGGCUGGAGGGGUGCAGUCGGGGAGGUCACCUGUUGCCCUCCGGUCCCGUCCGAGCCGCCGCCCGGACCAUUGUUUCGCAGCCAACCGAAAACCGGGCGGGGCGGGAGGGAGGGGAAAGGGAGAGGCCGCCGGGUCUUCCCUUUCCGUCGGGGACUUGA